Molecule: non-coding RNA, 78 nt
Organism: Podarcis lilfordi (Lilford's wall lizard)
Lineage: Eukaryota; Metazoa; Chordata; Lepidosauria; Squamata; Lacertidae
Source: the annotation of a GenBank genome assembly
GCUGAAGUUUGAUAGCUCAGUUGGUAGAGCAUGAGACUCUUAAUCUCAGGGGUGUGGGUUUGAGCCCCACGUUGGGCA